UACGUAGGGAGCGAGCGUUGUCCGGAAUUACUGGGUGUAAAGGGUGCGUAGGCGGGCAGUCAAGUCAGGCGUGAAAUCUAUGGGCUUAACCCAUAGCCUGCGUUUGAAACUGAUUGUCUUGAGUGAAGUAGAGGUAAGCGGAAUUCCCGGUGUAGCGGUGAAAUGCGUAGAGAUCGGGAGGAACACCAGUGGCGAAGGCGGCUUACUGGGCUUUUACUGACGCUGAGGCACGAAAGCAUGGGUAGCAAACAGG
This 253-nucleotide ribosomal RNA is filed under the name uncultured bacterium. RNAcentral describes it as "partial 16S ribosomal RNA". It matches the Rfam family "Bacterial small subunit ribosomal RNA", at positions 524 to 776 of the family's 1533-position model. The record is from RNAcentral.